AUCCAUGGAAACCCUCUACUACUUAGUGUAUUUGGUAUAUGUUGGAGGAUCUAUCAACUGCUUUAAGUAGCAGUUGCUCAGACACCUGAACAUGAGACUCCUGGCUAAACACUGGACAGUGUUAUUGCAGAUAACUGACCAAGGAAGCAGAAGAGAGGCUGAAGACCUUUUUUUUUUUUUUCCUUUUGCAAAGGCAUAUAGCCACAUGAAAUCUCGUCAGAAAAUUGCAGAGAAAUAUUGUAGAUUAAACAAGCACUAAUGGGGAAGAAAACCUUUUCUCAGACGAACUUCAUCUGAUAAUUCCAACGGCCAAGAUCUCCGGGCAGUUUGUGUGGUGUUCAGCAAGAUGUCAUAUUUAUCGGAGCUAUAGAAGACAUUUAUUGCUUCAUACACUGGGAUCUCUCUUGGGAUUCCUAUUGAAAUACAUGCCAUUAAAUCACCUUCAGCAAGUUGCUGCACUGAUGUCCAUGGGGCAUCUGCCAAAAAGCAGAGGCUUAG
Cyanistes caeruleus (blue tit) is the source of this 498-nucleotide non-coding RNA. Lineage: Eukaryota; Metazoa; Chordata; Aves; Passeriformes; Paridae. The record is from RefSeq and is a predicted model, not a curated record.